UGAACGCUGGCGGCGUGCUUAACACAUGCAAGUCGAACGAAGCUCUUGAAUGGAUCUCUUCGGAGUGAAGUGAUAGAUGACUGAGUGGCGGACGGGUGAGUAACGCGUGGGUAACCUACCCUAUACAGGGGGAUAACAGUUAGAAAUGACUGCUAAUACCGCAUAAGCGCACAGUAUCGCAUGAUACGGUGUGAAAAGCUCCGGCGGUAUAGGAUGGACCCGCGUCUGAUUAGCUAGUUGGUGAGGUAACGGCCCACCAAGGCGACGAUCAGUAGCCGACCUGAGAGGGUGACCGGCCACAUUGGGACUGAGACACGGCCCAAACUCCUACGGGAGGCAGCAGUGGGGAAUAUUGCACAAUGGGCGCAAGCCUGAUGCAGCCGACGCCGCGUGAGUGAAGAAGUAUUUCGGUAUGUAAAGCUCUAUCAGCAGGGAAGAACAAUGACGGUACCUGACUAAGAAGCUCCGGCUAAAUACGUGCCAGCCGCAGC
This 491-nucleotide ribosomal RNA is filed under the name uncultured bacterium. RNAcentral's name for it is "bacterial SSU rRNA". It matches the Rfam family "Bacterial small subunit ribosomal RNA", at positions 30 to 518 of the family's 1533-position model. The record is from RNAcentral.